AAGUGUCACCCACGACUCUGCUAAGUGCUGAGGACCAGACCAUCAUCUGCAAGCUGAAUGACUGUCUCAAGAGAAGGGUCGACAUGAGGUGGAGGAAAAAUGACUGGGCUUUGAGGGAACUGGAGUGCGAGGGAGUAAAAGAAUGUUUGUGCGAAGCAACCUUCAUAGCGAAAAAUACAGAUGGGAAGGGGCAGGAAGAAGAACAGAAGAACAAGAUUUUGUGUGAAGCAGAGAUAGAAGGGCUUGAAAGACUGCUAACUGAAUGUGUCCCUAUUACAAUUCAAGAUGGAUCUAAGCGUCUACACUGGGCUGUUACAUGUGCCUUUACCCUGACUUCCCCACUUGUACUGACUACACUGCUUCUAGUGUUGUGUCGCUGUCUACGUUAAAAUUGAAGUUACUUGCAAGACCUUUGGUGUGUCAAUACAUCCACUGAGCAAUCUCUUGGAAUGGGAGCUCAGAAUAAACACAACAAGAGACAACAAGACCCCAGCGCCAGACUCUCUCAAGACCCUGCUUCAGUCAGGAAAAUGUAUCCCCAGUGUAGAGUGCCCAUGGAGGCGUUGGAUGGCCAGGUGGUCUUUAUCCACCACAUUUAUAGUUUUAGAAAGAACCUGAAGGGGUCAAGAUGUUUAUUUUCUUCAUAUUGUACAUUAAUUGUAUUUUUUCUUUUUACGUUUUCCUCUCCUCUGUUGCCUCCUGGCCUAAGAAGUGUUAAUCAUUCUGUAAAAUGUCACCUUACAUGUAAUAUUCAUUAUUUGGAAGCAUGUUGUUACUUAAAUUUUCAGUUAGUAUUUUGUUGAGAUUAUUUUCAAAAGCAAUUUUAUAUAUUUUACAGAUGUUUUGCUA
Molecule: long non-coding RNA, 849 nt
Organism: Erpetoichthys calabaricus (reedfish)
Lineage: Eukaryota; Metazoa; Chordata; Cladistia; Polypteriformes; Polypteridae
Exons: 3
Source: RefSeq, a predicted model, not a curated record